This 249-nucleotide unclassified non-coding RNA is filed under the name uncultured fungus. Its description in RNAcentral is "partial contains 5.8S ribosomal RNA, internal transcribed spacer 2, and large subunit ribosomal RNA". Lineage: Eukaryota; Fungi. The record is from RNAcentral.
AACGCACAUUGCGCCCCUCGGUAUUCCGUGGGGCAUGCCUGUUCGAGCGUCAUUUACACCCUCAAGCUCUGCUUGGUGUUGGGCGUCUGUCCCGCCUUCGUGCGCGGACUCGCCUCAAAGUCAUUGGCAGCGGUCUCGCCGGCUUCUCGCGCAGCACAUUUGCGCUUCUUGGAGCUCUGGCGGAUCUGCGUCCAGCAAGCCAUUUCACGACUUGACCUCGGAUCAGGUAGGGAUACCCGCUGAACUUAA